This 433-nucleotide ribosomal RNA is filed under the name uncultured bacterium. RNAcentral describes it as "partial 16S ribosomal RNA". It matches the Rfam family "Bacterial small subunit ribosomal RNA", at positions 29 to 507 of the family's 1533-position model. The record is from RNAcentral.
AACGAACGCUGGCGGCAGGCCUAACACAUGCAAGUCGAGCGAGGACUUCGGUUCUAGCGGCGGACGGGUGAGUAACGCGUGGGAAUGUGCCCUUCUCUACGGAAUAGCCCUGGGAAACUGGGAGUAAUACCGUAUACGCCCUAUUGGGGAAAGAUUUAUCGGAGAAGGAUCAGCCCGCGUUGGAUUAGGUAGUUGGUGGGGUAAUGGCCUACCAAGCCGACGAUCCAUAGCUGGUUUGAGAGGAUGAUCAGCCACACUGGGACUGAGACACGGCCCAGACUCCUACGGGAGGCAGCAGUGGGGAAUCUUAGACAAUGGGGGCAACCCUGAUCUAGCCAUGCCGCGUGAGUGAUGAAGGCCUUAGGGUUGUAAAGCUCUUUCAGCUGGGAAGACAAUGACGGUACCAGCAGAAGAAGCCCCGGCUAACUCCGUG